This 301-nucleotide ribosomal RNA is filed under the name uncultured bacterium. RNAcentral describes it as "partial 16S ribosomal RNA". It matches the Rfam family "Bacterial small subunit ribosomal RNA", at positions 509 to 809 of the family's 1533-position model. The record is from RNAcentral.
CAGCCGCCGCGGGAAUACGUAGGUGGCAAGCGUUGUCCGGAAUUAUUGGGCGUAAAGGGCUCGCAGGCGGUUUCUUAAGUCUGAUGUGAAAGCCCCCGGCUCAACCGGGGAGGGUCAUUGGAAACUGGGAAACUUGAGUGCAGAAGAGGAGAGUGGAAUUCCACGUGUAGCGGUGAAAUGCGUAGAUAUAUGGAGGAACACCAGUGGCGAAGGCGACUCUCUGGUCUGUAACUGACGCUGAGGCUCGAAAGCGUGGGUAGCAAACAGGAUUAGAUACCCCAGUAGUCCCUGUCUCUUAUAA